This 2868-nucleotide ribosomal RNA is filed under the name Triticum aestivum (bread wheat). RNAcentral's name for it is "partial small subunit ribosomal RNA". Lineage: Eukaryota; Viridiplantae; Streptophyta; Magnoliopsida; Poales; Poaceae. The record is from RNAcentral.
AUGAGUUCGAAGAAGGUUCCGUUCAAUCGGCAUAAGGAGAACGAGGAGGCGAGGAAGAAGAGGGAGGAAGAUGAAGCGGCGCGUGUGUACGCGGAGUUUGUCAAGUCAUUCGAGGGUGAAAGCGCAUCUGGGUCAAAGUUUGUCCGAGGGGGUGUUAUCGACCCCAAUGCCAAGCUGAGAGCUGAUUCUGAAGGUGGAAAUUCCAAAGAUAGGGGGUCUGUUCCAAAGAAGGGCAGUAGGUAUGUUCCAUCUUUUGUGCCACCCUCAUUUGGGAGAGAACCGGAGAAAAAGAUGGAAGAUGAGCGGCCAAAGGAAAAGGAAAGAGGAAAGCCACGGGCAAUAGACACUGUCAUGGAGGAAUUGAAGCUGGAGAAAGAGCUUCGAGAAAGGCGUAAUCAAGAACGUGCCAGUCGACAUGGUGACACCUCCGUGCCCUCUAGCCGUUUUGAUGAACUACCAGAUGAAUUUGAUCCCACUGGGAGACUGCCAGGAUCAUUUGAUGAUGGAGAUCCGCAAACCACAAAUUUAUAUGUUGGCAAUCUCUCUCCUAAGGUGGAUGAGAAUUUUCUUCUGCGGACAUUUGGUCGGUUUGGACCUAUUGCAAGCGUCAAGAUCAUGUGGCCUCGAACAGAAGAAGAACGCAAAAGGCAAAGGCAUUGUGGCUUUGUUGCAUUCAUGAAUAGAGCAGAAGGACAGGCAGCCAAGGAUGAAAUGCAAGGUGUUGUUGUGUAUGACUAUGAGCUGAAGAUUGGGUGGGGAAAAUCUGUUGCUCUUCCAUCACAAGCACUACCUGCUCCUCCUCCAGGGCACAUGGCUAUCAGAAACAAGGAGGGUGGUACUGUCAUCAUAUCUGGUCCUGGAGGUCCACCUGUUGCAUCUGUUACACAGCAAACCUCAGAGCUGGUGCUUACUCCAAAUGUUCCUGAUAUAAUGGUUGCUCCGCCAGAUGAUUCACAUCUUCGGCAUGUGAUUGAUACAAUGGCCCUGCAUGUACUUGAUGGCGGAUGUGCUUUUGAACAAGCUAUAAUGGAACGAGGACGAGGAAAAGCAUUAUUUAACUUCUUGUUUGAUCUUAAAUCUAAAGAACACACAUACUAUGUUUGGCGGUUAUACUCAUUCGCUCAGGGCGAUACUUUACAACGAUGGCGAACAGAACCAUUUAUCAUGAUUACAGGAAGUGGAAGAUGGGUUCCACCUGCUUUGCCAUCCAGCCGAAGUCCUGAUCGUGAAAAAGAAUCUACUUUUGCAGCUGGUAGAACCAGGCGUGUUGAAGUGGAGCGCACAUUGACCGAGACACAACGUGAUGAAUUUGAGGACAUGCUGCGUGCAUUGACAUUAGAGAGAAGUCAGAUAAGGGAGGCUAUGGGAUUUGCAUUGGAUAAUGCUGAUGCUGCUGGAGAGAUUGUCGAGGUUCUUGUAGAAUCUUUGACACUCAAGGAGACACCUAUCCCAACUAAGGUUGCACGGCUUAUGCUAGUGUCCGACAUCCUUCAUAACAGUAGUGCUCCUGUGAAGAACGCCUCUGCAUUUCGAACCAAGUUUGAGACUGCUAUACCUGAUGUCAUGGAGAGCUUCAAUGACUUGUAUUGCAGUAUCACAGGAAGGAUUACUGCUGAAGCUCUGAAGGAGAGGGUUUUGAAAGUUCUACAAGUAUGGGCAGACUGGUUCCUGUUUUCUGAUGCAUAUCUGAAUGGGCUAAAAGCUACCUUUCUUAGACCAGGCAACUCUGGGGUCACCUCGUUCCACUCUCUAUGUGGUGAUGCACCAGAAAUUGAAAAGAAAACUAGCUCUGAGGAUAAUAAUGGGUUUAGGCUUGAUGAAGAUGGUGCCCUGGCCACAGGAAAGGCAGCGGCGACGAAGGAGCUGUUGAGUCUUCCACUUGCUGAACUUGAACGUCGUUGUAGGCAUAAUGGCCUCUCACUUUGCGGUGGUAAAGAGACGAUGGUUGCCAGAUUGCUCAGCUUGGAAGAGGCUGAGAAGGAGCAAGUAUAUCAGAAAGACGUUGCCAUGAAAUAUGUACAAGGCGAACCGCAUAGAGCUGGAAGAGAGGAUGUUGGUUUGAACGCUCGUAGGCUUGGAGAUGGUACUGGUGACAGUGAAUCAGAUAUGCUGGGGCUCUCUCGUCACAGUAUGCAAACAGGCCAAAGACGCUCUAGAGAGUGCGUAUCUCCUGAACCUGAACAAGUUUCAAGCAAGAAGCAGAAAGCUGAUCCUGUUUUGCCAGCUUCUAAAUGGAACCGAGAGGACAACGACAAUGAUGAAGAUAGAAUAAACGGUCAAGGAUUGGGAUUAAGCUAUUCAUCUGGAAGUGAUAUUGCUGGUGAUUCUGGGAAAGUGGACACAACCGAAAUUAGUACCGAUCAGGCAAUUCACCAUCCAGAUACAAUUGUGGAUGAAGAGCAUAGUAGCAACUCCUUUUUGAUCUACAGGCAGAAGCUAAGGCAGAUUGAGAUUGCUGUAAUGCAGUAUCGUGAAUCUCUAGAGGAGAAGGGGUUGCAUAGCAUGGAGGAGAUCGAGAGGAAGGUUGCCAGCCACCGUAGGCGCCUUCAAUCAGACUAUGGUUUGUCUUCAAUAGAUGGUGCAAACAACAGGUGGUCUUCUGAGAGACUAUCAUUGGAACGGAGAGAAAGGGCGGAUGAUGCACGUGAUUCUUCCAGGAAGCGGCCUCGCAGCCGGAGCAGGAGCCGUAGUCCUUCAAGGAAGUCAUCACUGGAUAGAGACCGAGAGUACAAUCGCAGCAGAGGCAGAUUGCAUGGCAAUGAUGCCGGGAGAGACAGGGCGCGCGAAAAAAGCUCAGGCCGAGGGAAGGAUGAUCACCACGAUAGGAGCAGCAGAGACCGGGAAAAGGACAGGAGAACCGGAAGGUGA